This 465-nucleotide ribosomal RNA is filed under the name uncultured bacterium. Its description in RNAcentral is "partial 16S ribosomal RNA". It matches the Rfam family "Bacterial small subunit ribosomal RNA", at positions 28 to 507 of the family's 1533-position model. The record is from RNAcentral.
GACGAACGCUGGCGGCGUGCUUAACACAUGCAAGUCGAACGGAAAGGCCCCUUUGGGGGUACUCGAGUGGCGAACGGGUGAGUAACACGUGAGUAACCUGCCCUUGACUUCGGGAUAACUUCAGGAAACUGGGGCUAAUACCGGAUAGGAAUCCUUGCUGCAUGGUGGGGGUUGGAAAGCUUCGGCGGUUUUGGAUGGACUCGCGGCUUAUCAGCUUGUUGGUGGGGUAGUGGCUUACCAAGGCUUUGACGGGUAGCCGGCCUGAGAGGGCGACCGGCCACAUUGGGACUGAGAUACGGCCCAGACUCCUACGGGAGGCAGCAGUGGGGAAUAUUGCACAAUGGGCGGAAGCCUGAUGCAGCAACACCGCGUGCGGGAGGACGGCCUUCGGGUUGUAAACCGCUUUCAGCAGGGGCGAAGCUUGUGGUGACGGUACCUGCAGAAGAAGCACCGGCUAACUACGUG